ACCUUGACCCAUUUGCUACAUUCCUUUUCCUGUGAAAUAUGGCAGCAAAGUGACUGGAGAUGUGGAGGAAAGCAUUAUCUCGGCAAUGCAGAGUCAUGAGAAGGACUGGGUCCAGAUGAAGGAUGUUGAGUGUGCUGAUGCAGUGGUGAUGGCAUAUUCUGCAGCUGGAAGGUGUGUUGCUGUUCAUUAAGGAGAGAAGAGUCACCCUGGUGACUGGUAGUUAGGACAACAGUAGGUUCCACUGGCUACUGGUUCGAGAAUUGCUAUUUGAUGUUCAAUCACAGAGGAAGAGGAGUCAAGUGGCCCAGAAGUCAGGA
Molecule: small RNA, 317 nt
Filed under: Pongo abelii (Sumatran orangutan)
Lineage: Eukaryota; Metazoa; Chordata; Mammalia; Primates; Hominidae
Description: processed transcript
Source: RNAcentral